This is a non-coding RNA of Picea glauca (white spruce), 87 nucleotides long. NCBI's taxonomy places the organism in Eukaryota, Viridiplantae, Streptophyta, Pinopsida, Pinales, Pinaceae. The record is from Rfam.
GAGAGCCGAAUGAAUCGAAAUAUUCGUGUUCGGUUUGGGAAGAGAUUAUGAAUUCGUUCAUUUUUUGAAUAGAUAAUAUACUUUCAU